RNAcentral lists this transfer RNA (73 nucleotides) under Nematostella vectensis (starlet sea anemone). It matches the Rfam family "tRNA". From Rfam's summary of the family: Transfer RNA (tRNA) molecules are approximately 80 nucleotides in length. Their secondary structure includes four short double-helical elements and three loops (D, anti-codon, and T loops). Lineage: Eukaryota; Metazoa; Cnidaria; Anthozoa; Actiniaria; Edwardsiidae. The record is from Rfam by way of RNAcentral.
GUCUCUGUGGCGCAAUCGGUUAGCGCGUUCGGCUGUUAACCGAAAGGUUGGUGGUUCAAGCCCCCAAGGGACG